GACGAACGCUGGCGGCGUGCCUAAUACAUGCAAGUUGAGCGCUGAAGGUUGGUACUUGUACCAACUGGAUGAGCAGCGAACGGGUGAGUAACGCGUGGGGAAUCUGCCUUUGAGCGGGGGACAACAUUUGGAAACGAAUGCUAAUACCGCAUAAAAACUUUAAACACAAGUUUUAAGUUUGAAAGAUGCAAUUGCAUCACUCAAAGAUGAUCCCGCGUUGUAUUAGCUAGUUGGUGAGGUAAAGGCUCACCAAGGCGAUGAUACAUAGCCGACCUGAGAAGGUGAUCGGCCACCUUUGGACUGUGACACGGCCCAAACUCCCACGGGAGGCAGCAGUAGGGAAUCUUCGGCAAUGGACGAAAGUCUGACCGAGCAACGCCGCGUGAGUGAAGAAGGUUUUCGGAUCGUAAAACUCUGUUUGUAGGGAAGAACGGUGGUGAGAGUGGAAAGCUCAUCAAGUGACGGUAACUACCCAGAAAGGGACGGCUAACUACGUG
Molecule: ribosomal RNA, 497 nt
Filed under: uncultured bacterium
Lineage: Bacteria
Description: partial 16S ribosomal RNA
Rfam family: Bacterial small subunit ribosomal RNA
Source: RNAcentral